CGACGAAUCUUCCGCAAUGGGCGCAAGCCUGACGGAGCAAUGCCGCGUGUGGGAUGAAGCAUCUUCGAUGUGUAAACCACUGUCAGAAUCUAGGAACACUGACCAGAUUCAGAGGAAGGACCGGCUAACCUCGUGCCAGCAGCCGCGGUAAGACGAGGGGUCCGAGCGUUAAUCAGAAUCACUGGGCUUAAAGCGUGCGCAGGCGGUCUGGCAAGCAUCUUGUGAAAUCCCUCGGCUCAACCGGGGAACUGCAGGGUGAACUGCCAGACUUGAGGCAGGUAGGGGCUGAUGGAACCAUGAGUGGAGCGGUGAAAUGCGUAGAUAUUCAUGGGAACGCCGAUGGGGAAGCCGAUCAGCUGGGCCUGUCCUGACGCUCAGGCACGAAAGCGUGGGGAGCAAACAGGAUUAGAUACCCCCGUAGUCC
Molecule: ribosomal RNA, 424 nt
Filed under: uncultured prokaryote
Description: bacterial SSU rRNA
Rfam family: Bacterial small subunit ribosomal RNA
Source: RNAcentral